This 253-nucleotide ribosomal RNA is filed under the name uncultured bacterium. RNAcentral's name for it is "partial 16S ribosomal RNA". It matches the Rfam family "Bacterial small subunit ribosomal RNA", at positions 524 to 776 of the family's 1533-position model. The record is from RNAcentral.
UACGUAGGGUCCGAGCGUUGUCCGGAGUUACUGGGCGUAAAGCGCGCGCAGGCGGCUUGAUAAGUCUGGCGUGAAAGCCCCCGGCUCAACCGGGGAGGGUCGUCGGAGACUGUUGAGCUUGAGGGCGGUAGGGGCUGGUGGAAUUCCCGGUGUAGUGGUGAAAUGCGUAGAGAUCGGGAGGAACACCUGUGGCGAAGGCGGCCAGCUGGGCCGACCCUGACGCUGAGGCGCGAAGGCGUGGGGAGCGAACGGG